GACGAACCGUGCGAACGUUGUUCGGAUUCACUGGGCUUAAAGGGCGCGUAGGCGGACUCGCAAGUCUGUGGUGAAAGCCCCCAGCUCAACUGGGGAAGUGCCAUGGAUACUGCGGGUCUGGAGGAGGGUAGGGGCAUCUGGAACGCUGGGUGGAGCGGUGAAAUGCGUUGAUAUCCAGCGGAACUCCGGUGGCGAAGGCGAGGUGCUGGACCCUUUCUGACGCUGAGGCGCGAAAGCCAGGGGAGCAAACGGG
This 253-nucleotide ribosomal RNA is filed under the name uncultured bacterium. Its description in RNAcentral is "partial 16S ribosomal RNA". It matches the Rfam family "Bacterial small subunit ribosomal RNA", at positions 524 to 776 of the family's 1533-position model. The record is from RNAcentral.